UCCGUUCGCCUCGGCCUCCCAAAGUGCCAGGAUUACAGGCAUGAGCCACCGCGCCUGGCCGUAACUGAUUCUUUAUAUAUAAUUGUUGCCUAAUUCCUAGCAUACUGAGAUCCUAUUUAUUUAUUUAUUUAUUUAUUUAUUUAUUUAUUUAUUUAUUUUCUGAGAUCUAAUUUAGACCAUGGAGAAGAAAAACAAAAAGGUGGUAUUAAUAAACUGCUUUGGGGAGUAAAAGAACCUCUUAGAAUCCACGACAUCAUGGAUGGAAGAGAUCCUUAAGGAGGGAAUGAAGCACAGCUCAGAGUGGGAAGGUUAGCAAUGUUCAAGACCAAAGUUAAUCAUCUCUACAUGAGUCAAUUGAAAGAAAAGAAUUAAAAGCAUUAAAAAAAAAACAAUAUGAGUAAUGGGAGGAGCUGAUGAAGCCUGCUGCCCAGAUGAGGAUUGGAAACUAUUUAAACUGGAUAAUACAGUAUGUGUUUUAGCUCUGAGAAAACAGAAGUUGAACUUUUGAGUAGUAAUCAAGGGCACGGUCUCAAAGUAUUUGCAAAUAGUGCUGGUAUGGAGAACAGAUGCCGACAUUAUUGCCAAUGGGAAUCACAAUGUGAUAGUUGGAGUGAGAGACUAAAAGAAACCACAGGGAAUUUUUGCAGAAAGCUUGGCAUUGAACAUGAUUUAUGGUUGAUUUAAGAAGGAGACAAGGAAAAUAAGGCUACAGUGUAUACCAUCUGACUGCUGCGGACCAAGGAUGUAAACAGUUAGCCAUGGCUCUCCAACCUCCUGGAAAUCAGGAUUCUGCUCAUACAGAAAGGCGCCAGAAUGUUUGUCUGAGUUAAGUGCAUACUUCUUUUUUAGUAUCUAAGAAUAGUUAUCCUCCUUUCCUCUCCCAUUACUGCUUGGGUAUCCUUAAAAAUCCUCACCAGCUAUUAAGUAUCAUGGAGUUACGCAAAGAGGUCUGCAGGGAACUUGAUGGCUUCCCAAAGUGGAUCAGAGAACCUCACAGGAGGCCCUAGGCUUGAAAGGAUGAUUGCAGAAAGGAUGACCUACAAGUGGAUGGUCAGAUCUGGCUGCAAAUGGAUGUCUGAAAGAAAACGGGGAUCCUAGGAAACCCAUCACAGCCCUCUAUGAGCUUCAGAAACCAGCAAGAUGGGAUUUCGGAUGUUGGAAUCAUGAGGCUUUUGUUUAAGAGUUGCUUAAGAUGUUCUUCAGAUCCUGAAUUCCAGCAGAACAGCUGACAUCCACAACCAGUUUGAGGAUCCCCACAGAAGAGCUGAAUCAACAUGAGAAUGCAGUUUCUUCAUCUCUCCAGUCCAUGACUUCACCCUGCAAUCCCCACAGAAGAGCUGAAUCAACAUGAGAAUGCAGUUUCUUCAUCUCUCCAGUCCAUGACUUCACCCUGCAAUCCCCACACCUCAGCCCACUCCAAACCCCUUACAAACUCCUCAGGGAGGCAAAUCUGAGGUUUCCUUCCAUCUCCUUGUUCAGAUGCCCUAUGAUUAUUAAACCCUUUCUCUGCUGCAAUCCUUGA
RNAcentral lists this long non-coding RNA (1522 nucleotides) under Homo sapiens (human). Its description in RNAcentral is "HSALNT0307133". Lineage: Eukaryota; Metazoa; Chordata; Mammalia; Primates; Hominidae. The record is from RNAcentral.